CCAAUAGCGUAUAUUAAAGUUGUUGCAGUUAAAAAGCUCGUAGUUGAAUUUCGGGACCAAUCUGCCGGUCGUGCCUCCGGUACGCACUGGUUUUAUUGGUUUCUCCCUUCUGACGAACCAUGAUGUCAUUAAUUUGGUGUCAUGGGGAAUCAGGACUGUUACUUUGAAAAAAUUAGAGUGUUUAUAGCAGGCUCACGCUUGAAUACAUUAGCAUGGAAUAAUGAAAUAGGACGUUUGACCCUAUUUUGUUGGUUUAUAGGAUCGACGUAAUGAUUAAUAGGGAUAGUUGGGGGCAUUAGUAUUCAAUUGUCAGAGGUGAAAUUCUUGGAUUUAUUGCAGACUAACUACUGCGAAAGCAUUUGCCAAGGAUGUUUUCAUUAAUCAAGAACGAAAGUUAGGGGAUCGAAGACGAUCAGAUACCGUCGUAGUCUUAACCAUAAACUAUGCCGACUAGGGAUCGGAUGAUGUUAAUUUUUUAAUGACUCAUUCGGCGCCUUACG
Molecule: unclassified non-coding RNA, 500 nt
Filed under: uncultured Glomus
Lineage: Eukaryota; Fungi; Glomeromycota; Glomeromycetes; Glomerales; Glomeraceae
Description: SSU rRNA
Rfam family: Eukaryotic small subunit ribosomal RNA
Source: RNAcentral